RNAcentral lists this non-coding RNA (706 nucleotides) under Pan troglodytes (chimpanzee). Lineage: Eukaryota; Metazoa; Chordata; Mammalia; Primates; Hominidae. The record is from RNAcentral.
AAAUAAUCGGUCAGCAGGGAGCUUCGAUCUGCGGGGAAUGCGAACUGCCAGUCCCUAUUCCCGCCCUUAAGGUGGCCAAAAGGCUGACUCCCUCCAAGCACCCCGCCCGCGCCUCCAUCGCCCCCACCCACGUCCCACUCGCCAGCUGCGGACUGAACCCUCACUCUCAAGGGGGUGUAGCCUCAGGGGAUCUUCGGCAAAGAGGUAACGGGGCUUGAAUUUACCACAACUCUGCGGCCACGUUUUCAAAUUUGGAAAAGAUGAGAAAAGAAGGUUCAGGCGAUUUAUGCGAGAAAGGGCCAAUUUGAACACUGGUAACUAGUGGGAGAAAUAAACUUAUAAGCCACAAACACAUCGGUUCGCAACCGAGCCCACAGCCCCGCGAGGCGCCCCUUCUUCCCAGCUCCCGGAGGAUAACUUCAUUGACUGGCAGGUCGGCGGCCACUUCUGGGAGGGCCACUGUUUACCGAAUGAGAACCUCUCAUCGCACAGUCCUUACAGCAGGGCUGCCUGUCGCCCUUGCGCGUCCGGGUGCCGGGUCCCGGCGGUGUUCUGCAGCGCGAUCCGGUCCCCGUGCCCUGAGCCACCCAGAGCCCUGGGCCUGCCUGCACCCUGGGGCGCGCUGACUCCCUGGGUCGGGUGGGGGUCCCGGCAGGAUGCACUUCCAGCUGCGGGGUCCGCGGAGUUUGCUCGCACCUGGUUUGGC